CAACUAUCUUGUUCACUGUUGCAGUUGGAUUGGUUUGGUUGAUGGGUGCGGCUGCACUUCAAAAGUAUAUUGGAGGCCUUGGGGGAAUAGGAACUUCAGGAGUUGGCUCAAGCUCUUCUUAUGCACCCAAGGAGUUGAAUAAAGAAGUUACGCCAGAGAAAAAUGUUAAAACAUUUAAGGAUGUCAAAGGUUGUGAUGAUGCAAAACAGGAGCU
Molecule: unclassified non-coding RNA, 214 nt
Filed under: Hevea brasiliensis (rubber tree)
Lineage: Eukaryota; Viridiplantae; Streptophyta; Magnoliopsida; Malpighiales; Euphorbiaceae
Source: RNAcentral